Molecule: long non-coding RNA, 214 nt
Organism: Etheostoma cragini (Arkansas darter)
Lineage: Eukaryota; Metazoa; Chordata; Actinopteri; Perciformes; Percidae
Exons: 3
Source: RefSeq, a predicted model, not a curated record
UAAAAGUAAUGAAUAAUAAAUGAACGUAACUAGUUAAGAGUAAUGACUAAACAGUUCCAAUGGUAAGCAAAGUAAUAUAGAAACGGUUAAAAUAGCUCAAAAUUAAAAUAGUUAGCUAAAGGUAAUGGAUCACUACAAAUAAUACUACCCUAAAAGGUUUGUAAAAGUGUGACUCCUGACCAAACCAACCUUAAUAUUGCCAGUUUUAUAUAAU